Molecule: long non-coding RNA, 540 nt
Organism: Limulus polyphemus (Atlantic horseshoe crab)
Lineage: Eukaryota; Metazoa; Arthropoda; Merostomata; Xiphosura; Limulidae
Exons: 4
Source: RefSeq, a predicted model, not a curated record
UAUGCGUUUUGCGUGUGGUGCUGAAAACGGAUGUUCAGUCCAAGGAAAAUGCAAAAUUUCACCGCCGAAAUUUGAUCAUAAGGAAUUUUUCAUCAUUUCGUGAUAUUGCAUAAAUAUAUUAUACAUUGGCGUUACAUUGUAGACGAACCAAGUUACUUGAGGCCGUAUGGCUACAGAGCAAGUAGUUUAUGUUUUUCACUUGAGAAUGACAGUGGGUGGCAGAGGCAGUUUUAUGUCAUUCCAACUGUUUUACUGAAUACUUUACGCCCACAUUAUCAAAGAACUAAGUGUUUAUGUUUCAUUUUUUUCAAAGAGAUUUAAUUAACAUUUAUGGCAUUGAUCCCUUACUACUUGCUGUGUUUGCUUUUGAUCUACGGGGACUGCAUCAAUCCAGGGAAGGUCUCACUCGUGUCUUCAAUAAUUCUUUUCUACUAGUGUUAGGACAGGGAGUAAAAUAUGCCCCCUAAGCAACAACCAAAAAAAGAUCCAAAGGCUGCCACAGCCAAGAAGAAAAAGGAAGGAGGAUCUCAAGGUGGUAAA